AUGGAGUUUGUGAAAGAGGAGAGAGAAGAGAACACGAGUGAACCAGAAACCAGCACAAUAAAACACGAGGAAACAGAAAUAAAACACGAGGAACCAGAAUCUUUGAUAAUUAAACACGAGGAACCAGAAACCUGGAGAAUAAAACAAGAGGAAACAGAAACCUGGAGAAUAAAACAAGAGGAACCAGAAACCUGGAGAAUAAAACAAGAGGAACAAGGAGGUUGGUGUUUAUUCUUAUUUAUUUUACUUUUUUUAAAUUAUUUUUAUGUUCUUCGUUCAUCUUUAAUGACUGUUUGUGGUAACGUUACAUUAGGCUUACAAAGUUUUACUUAUCGGGUGUUUUGGGGACCUGGAUAAUUUCUGUGGAGACAUUUGUGGGUGUUUUUAUAUAAAGACUAGGUGUAGACUGCGGCACUGAAGACUUGUUACCCAUGGGUUUUUAUUAAUAGGCGAAGUUCCUCCUUUAUGUCUUUCAUAUAAAUUUCCUUUGACUAUUUUGUAACAUUCAAUGUUAUUAAACCACUUUUUGUGCAGUAUGAAUAAAGGGUGAUAAAUUAAAGUGCUUGCAGUAUCCUUUAAUAAAAUAUAAACUAUACAAACAAUAAAAGCAUAAUCUAAAAAACAUUUCUUGUGCAUUAUAAAGAAUAUAAUACAGUUGGUUUGAUACCUUUAUCUCAAACUGUGUCAGUUUAAUUGAAGUGAGUAUAUUAUAUAAAACAGUUGAUUCAAUAAUGUAUAUAAAAACAACAAAGGCAUCAUCUGAAAAACAAUGCAUUCUGCAUUAUACUGAAUAAUAUUCUGUAUAUUUUACAGUGGGUUUGAUACCUUUAGAUCAAAUGAUGUUGUCCUUUAAUGUAUUGUAUUGAUAUUGACUUGGGACUAUAUUAUGGGGAAGCACAGGCGAAGCACUGCUGCUUAGGCGAAGCACUGCUACUUCGGUGCAGAGAUAUCACGCAACACAUGAAAACAUCAACUCUAUGUGAAUACAGGUAUAAUAUGGGUCGAUCUAUACAUGUGUCAUGAUUAAAAUAAUCACUUACUCUGUGGACAGCUGUCCAUUUGGUCCAUUCGGCGUGGGGUGUUUUUUCCAGUUCACUUUGUCACACCGAAAAAAAAAAAUCGAUUAACGUUACUGCAGAAUGGAUCAGCGCCGUGAAAUCCUCUGUAGAUGUGACACAACUUCGGGCACGCUCAUCUUGAUCUGACGUGUUGAGCCUGGUCAUCAAUGGCAAAAACAUGUCCCACUCUCUACAGCACAGACACUCUAUUUCCGUCGGCAUAGAUUGGCAUAUUCCCCCACAUUCACACCACCAGUUCAUGUUGGCUCUCAUCCUCACGUCCUCAGGCUGUUGAGCGAUCGCAACCUCCUCCUCCUGUCGUUCUAUUUCCAAAGCACGCAGCUCGUCUUCUGUAAACUCUGGUUCAAAUAGGUAUGGUUCUGGUUCUUGACUGUCUGAGAAGUCACCCUCUUCGUCUCUCUCAAAAUCAGCCAUGUUCAUCGCCAUUCGUGUACUGUAAGGAAAAUAGCCAGGCAGCUACUAUUCACGCCGGUAUGUUGACGGAAGUCGUGGGAUUUCAUGUGUUGCGUGAUAUCUAUGCGCCGAAGUAGCAGUGCUUCGCCUAAGCAGCAGUGCUUCGCCUGUGCUUCCCCAUAAUAUAGUCCCAAGUCAAUAUCUGCCUAGGAAAUCGCCUAGUGUUAAUCUGGAUCGCUAUUUGUACUCGUUGUGAAUACGCAGGCCACAAGAAGUAAUUAGGUGGGUUUUUUUAAUUUUUUGAUCACUUUUACUCAGGCCAUGCUAGCUGGCAACAAAGGAUUCCAUUCAUUGUGCUAAGCUAAGCUAACGCCGACCCAGUCAAACUAAAACAAUGCAUGCACGGACACAAAAAUGCAUUUGCCCACCUAUCUAAAUGUAGGAAAUAAUGUGAAUAAGCCCUAUUUCAAAAAACGGUGGAGUGUUCCUUUAACAGUAGUGAGUUAAGUGUUAAUGAAUAAUCACAUGUUAGUUCUUCAAUAAUUCCAUAUUACUUAUGUAGUAAGUAAGAAACAGUAUUCUAAAGUGUUACCAAUAUUUUUUUAAACCAAGAAUGAACCGAAAUGAAAACAUGUAGCUUUUUAUCCGUGUGUGUGUAGAUUUUUGAGAGUAAUAUAGUGAAGUAAAUGUAGGCAUUCCGUGUACGGGACAGGGUGACAGUUAAAGGGUUAAACUACACUACAGGGCAACAUGGAACAUCUGACUUGACACAAACGUACACACAUUAAACAUAAAUGUCAACGCAAGGAAAGCAUGGAUAGAGAGAGAGAGAGAGAGCGAACGAACUGCAACGAGAGAGAGCGAGAGUGAGCGCUCACGCGCAAUAGACAGUGGAGCGUCAUGGCAGUAUUUACUCACAAACCAAUUCAUUACCUGUUAAGAACCAUCGAAGAAUCUCAUCACCUUAAUUAAAAGGGGUCAAAGCCUAGAAGCGCAUCUUAAUAGUUGACAAGUGGAUACUUGCAUUGGUUCUCUAAAGUGUCUGGUCUGUAAAAGUAAUGUCCCAGUAUGUCCCAGUGCAUGUACAAUGCGUAGAUUCCUGUUGAAUCCUGUUAGGAGUGAAACUGUCAUUAUUUUCAAAGUCCUGAGUGGAGUUUCCCCCACUAUUGGAGUUUAUGGUCACUCCAGCUGAUGAUCGUGACGAGAUAUAUACAGUGGGGAUCGAAAGUUUGGGCACCCCUUGCAGAAUCUGUGAAAAUAUGAGUAAUUUUCAAAAAAUAAGAGAGAUCAUACUAAAUGCAGGUUAUUUUUUAUUUAGUACUGUCCUGAGUAGGAUAUUGUACAUAAAAGAUAUUAACAUUUAGUCCACAAGACAAAAAAAUUGCUGAAAUUAUUAAAAUAACCCCACUCAAAAGUUUGGGAACCCUUGGUUCUUAAUACUGUGUUCUGUUACCUGAUGAUCCUUGACUGUCUUUCUGUUUUGUGAUGGUUGUGCAUGAGUCCCUUGUUAGUUCUGAACAGUUAAACUGAGCAGCGUUCUUCAGAAAAAUCUUUAAGGUCCUGCAGAUUCUUCAGUUUUCCAGCAUCUUUGCAUGUUUGAACCCUUUCCAGCAGUGACUUUAUGAUUUUAAGAUGCAUCUUUUCACACUAAGGACAAUUGAGGGACUCAAACACAACUAUUUAAAAAGAUUCAAACAUUCACUGAUGCUCCAGAAGGAAACGAGAUGCAUUAAGAGCUGGGGGGUGAAAACUUUUGAACAUGAUGAAGAUGGGCAAAUUUGUCUUAUUUUGUUGAAAUAUAAUUUUUUUUCCAUUUAGUUCUGCCCUUCGUAAGCAACAGAAGAUACUUGUAUGUUUCCCGGUACACAAAUUAAGUACAAUUUACCUUGAUCUUCAAAUUCCAAAAGUUUUCACCCCGAAGGUGAAAGGAUUUUCUUAGUCGAAUCGGAAUUUUCGAAUCUUGCUGAUAUGCGACUGAUAGUCGAAUCAUAUGUUUGGGGGCGGGGCAAAAUACAUUGAGUCAAGUCAGACACUCUACAACCAUAAUUACUGAUGUUAACACACAGGGAAAAUGUGUAACAAAUGCUUCGCAGAUACAAACGGAGUAAAUAAUGUUUUUAUGUUAGCGCAGCUCUUUAUCUUAGAUACAGAAAGAAUGAAAAUCCUGGAAGAGAGAAUCCAUCCUUAUAUAAAUAUUAGUGGUGUUCCCAGCUAAGGAUUUUCUUAGUCGAAUCGGAAUUUUCGAAUCUUGCUGAUAUUUGACUGAUAGUCGAAUCAUAUGUUUGGGGGCGGGGCAAAAUACAUUGAGUCAAGUCAGACACUCUACAACCAUAAUUACUGAUGUUAACACACAGGGAAAAUGUGUAACAAAUGCUUCGCAGAUACAAACGGAGUAAAUAAUGUUUUUAUGUUUUUCUUUUGCGAUUCUUUGUUUAUUCAACAUUUUGUGUAAUUAACUAUUUACAACAAAGCCCAAGAUCACCCAUAACCGUAAGACUAAAUAUAAAUACAUAAAAUAGAUACAUAUGACUGAAAAUUAAAAUAAAAUUGACCAAAACUUAGAAGGAUAUCAAAAACUUCUUGAUAAAGUCUCAAUAAGGUCCAACCAAAAUUGUAUUGUCUUUCUAUUGGCUCCGAGCACUUUAGCUGUGGUGCACUCCAGAUGGGCAAUGUCCAGUAGAUAUGACAUCCAGAUAGACAUAGGUGGGGUAGUUGGUUCCAACCACAUUUUUAGGAGAACCUUUUUAGCAGCAGUAAGGAAAAUGGACAGAAUCCUCCUUUGAUUGACAGACAGUGACAACGAAGAAUCAUCCAGCAGAAGAAAAAUCAGAGGGUCCUUUCGGAUUGGAAUCUUCAGAAGUUCUGUUAGUAUGUCCUGGACUGAGG
This 4358-nucleotide long non-coding RNA is filed under the name Carassius auratus (goldfish). RNAcentral describes it as "lncRNA (ENSCARG00000062507.1)". The record is from RNAcentral. Lineage: Eukaryota; Metazoa; Chordata; Actinopteri; Cypriniformes; Cyprinidae.